RNAcentral lists this ribosomal RNA (497 nucleotides) under uncultured bacterium. Its description in RNAcentral is "partial 16S ribosomal RNA". It matches the Rfam family "Bacterial small subunit ribosomal RNA", at positions 28 to 507 of the family's 1533-position model. The record is from RNAcentral.
GAUGAACGCUGGCGGCGUGCCUAAUACAUGCAAGUCGAGCGAACGGACGAGAAGCUUGCUUCUCUGAUGUUAGCGGCGGACGGGUGAGUAACACGUGGAUAACCUACCUAUAAGACUGGGAUAACUUCGGGAAACCGGAGCUAAUACCGGAUAAUAUUUUGAACCGCAUGGUUCAAAAGUGAAAGACGGUCUUGCUGUCACUUAUAGAUGGAUCCGCGCUGCAUUAGCUAGUUGGUAAGGUAACGGCUUACCAAGGCAACGAUGCAUAGCCGACCUGAGAGGGGGAUCGGCCACACUGGAACUAGGACACGGUCCAGGAUCCUACGGGAGGCAGCAGUAGGGAAUCUUCCGCAAUGGGCGAAAGCCUGACGGAGCAACGCCGCGUGAGUGAUGAAGGUCUUCGGAUCGUAAAACUCUGUUAUUAGGGAAGAACAUAUGUGUAAGUAACUGUGCACAUCUUGACGGUACCUAAUCAGAAAGCCACGGCUAACUACGUG